Molecule: long non-coding RNA, 1774 nt
Organism: Oreochromis niloticus (Nile tilapia)
Lineage: Eukaryota; Metazoa; Chordata; Actinopteri; Cichliformes; Cichlidae
Source: Ensembl
GUUAUUUGAUUCCUCUUUUCGAACACCGCAGGGGUCACGGUGGCUUUCUGAUGAGGUAAGAGAACUUAUCAUUAUUGAUUCUGAUUUCAAGGUUCUGCUCCUUCUGAAGCAUUUGCAGUGCAGAGACCAUUAAUAGUUUAAAAUGUGCGGGUAGGUGGGGGGGUUUAUAUUGCAAAACUCUGAUAAGGUUUCACCCAUACACUUCAAUAGGAAAAAAUGUGAUCAACCACAACACAGAUGUUGUGACAUCUGUGACAUCAUAAUACCCGGUUUCAGUAUAUGCAGAAAGAACCUUUAUCAGCAAUUAUAUUCCUUUUGAUGUUUUUGUGUACAGCACUCAAGCAGUUACUUCAAAAAUUGUUGCUGUUGUUGUAUAAACUCUGAUUUUUCAAAACAGGUCAUUGAUGCAUACCUGCACUGUGUUAUUGAGAGACGAAAGAAUGCUGUACACCUGCUCUGUUCAGUGGUUGCAAGCUUGUUGUUUUCUGGGCAGUUCAGAUGCCUCAACAAGAUGAAGUUCCCAGUUGAAGACAUGUGGCUGUGCUCUGUGAAUUUUGGUACACACUGGAUUCUUGUAAUUGUCAACAUUUCUGCACAGAAAAUACUACUCAUAGACCCCAUGGGGAAUGAAGGUGUUUAUGACAGGAAAAUUCUGCGCAACUGGAGGAAUUUUCUGAGGAUGAGAGGGCAUGAAGACAUUAUGGAGUGGCAGUUACAGACUAUGCAACACAACAAGCAACAGGAUUCCAGCAGUUGCGGAGUUUUACUGUUAAAGUUUGCAGAACACUACCUUGAUUUUGGAGAGGUCAGUGAGGUGUUAACCACUACAGAGGCAGUUGUGCUGGAACGAAUGCAGAUAGCUUGUACCCUACUUGAAAAUCGAGGUAAGUUCAGUAAAGUUCUUAUCACGUUAGAGUGUGUACUUCCAAUUUAAAUAGUGCUUUUCAAACAGCACAGUACAAAUAGUGCUCUUCAAACACUUUCAGAUAAGACCCUUCUCAAAGUCUAAUUAAAAAAAUUCAGGAGACUAAUUUUCCAUGAAGUAUAUUUGGAAAAAAUGUACUAUUAUUUUUAAAUUAUUCAAUAAAUUUUGAAUGUGCAAAAUAUAAAGAGUGCAACCAAGAAUAUAAAUGCCAAAAAUGUAAGGAAAACACAUAACAACUUCAAAUAAAAACAGCUGUCUUUUUCCCUCCAUGUGUGUUGGUAUUCUUUGUCAACAUUAGAUGAUUGUGUGCUGGAAGCAUGUUUUAAUAGUGUGAUUUGGCCAUCUGAACGUCCUACCUAUACGACGGAGCCAUUAACCACGUAAGGUAGCAUAUUCUGAUAAGGUAGCACGGAUUGAUAGACAAGACCAUAAAUUUACGCUACGGUAGGAUGUUUUGACAAGGUAGGACGUUUUGUCAGAACCCGGCAGCCUUGCCUCUGUCAGUGCGCCCCAGGGUGGCUGUGGCUACAAUGUAGCUUGCCAUCACCAGUGUGUGGAUGACUGGAUGUAUAAAGUGCUUUGGGGUCCUUAGGGACUAGUAAAGCGCUAUACAAAUAAAGGCCAUUUACCAUUUACCAUUUGUCCUUUUUACGAAUUUUUCAUUUUACCGGUAUGUUUGUAAUGUUUAUAGAUUUUUAACUGCCAUGUCACAACGCCUCGGGUAUAGGUGAUGUAGGGAUCUUUUCCAGUAGAAGAGUUGUAUGAUCCGCAAAACGCUCCUUUUUGAUUUGGCAGAUGCUGCUGACACCACUCCUCUCUCCUUUUCAUGAGGAGUCAGGAAAUGAAAAG